This 336-nucleotide unclassified non-coding RNA is filed under the name soil metagenome. Its description in RNAcentral is "partial contains 5.8S ribosomal RNA, internal transcribed spacer 2, and large subunit ribosomal RNA". The stretch from base 1 to 120 matches the Rfam family "5.8S ribosomal RNA", at positions 35 to 154 of the family's 154-position model. The record is from RNAcentral.
GAUGAAGAACGUAGCGAAAUGCGACAAGUAAUGUGAAUUGCAGAAUUCCGUGAAUCAUCGAAUCUUUGAACGCACAUUGCGCCCCCUGGUAUUCCGGGGGGCAUGCCUGUCCGAGCGUCAUUGCAACCUUCAAGCGCGGCUUGUGUGUUGGGUCUCGUCCCCCGUGGACGGGCCCGAAAGGCAGUGGCGGCGUCCCGACAUGGUGCCCGAGCGUAUGGGAAUCCUCUUCCGCUCGAAUCGGCCCAUGCGGCGCUGGUCGUAACCAAAUUUUUUACCGGUUGACCUCGGAUCAGGUAGGGAUACCCGCUGAACUUAAGCAUAUCAAUAAGCGGAGGA